GUGAGGAAUAUUGGUCAAUGGGCGCGAGCCUGAACCAGCCAAGUCGCGUGAGGGAAGACGGUCCUAUGGAUUGUAAACCUCUUUUGCCGGGGAGCAAGAUAUGGUACGCGUACUGUAUCUGAGAGUACCCGGAGAAAAAGCAUCGGCUAACUCCGUGCCAGCAGCCGCGGUAAUACGGAGGAUGCGAGCGUUAUCCGGAUUUAUUGGGUUUAAAGGGUGCGUAGGCGGAAUGGUAAGUCAGCGGUAAAAUUGAGAGGCUCAACCUCUUCCCGCCGUUGAAACUGCUGUUCUUGAGUGGGCGAGAAGUAUGCGGAAUGCGUGGUGUAGCGGUGAAAUGCAUAGAUAUCACGCAGAACUCCGAUUGCGAAGGCAGCAUACCGGCGCCCGACUGACGCUGAGGCACGAAAGCGUGGGGAUCAAACAGG
RNAcentral lists this ribosomal RNA (425 nucleotides) under uncultured bacterium. RNAcentral describes it as "bacterial SSU rRNA". It matches the Rfam family "Bacterial small subunit ribosomal RNA", at positions 354 to 776 of the family's 1533-position model. The record is from RNAcentral.